Molecule: non-coding RNA, 464 nt
Organism: Zootoca vivipara (common lizard)
Lineage: Eukaryota; Metazoa; Chordata; Lepidosauria; Squamata; Lacertidae
Source: the annotation of a RefSeq genome assembly
GCUUUAGGAAAUCUAGCCAGGCAGUUUUUGCCAUUAUGGCCUGGGACUUGUUUCUCGUCACAAUCCUGGUCUCCAUCAUUGGUCCCAGUGUCCAGCAGUUACAGACUUUGAAGGACCCCGAAUUUGUGGCUCCAGGUGGGACAGUCACCAUGUCUUGCAGGUUCGAGAGUGGAAACAUCGGUGAUGGCAACUACCCUUGGUGGGCACAGAAAAAACCUGGGAGUAGACCUCGACUGAUAAUGUACAGCACCAGCACCCGACCAUCUGACGUUCCAGCUCGUUUCUCUGGAUCUCGAGUGGGGAAUGUUAUGUCCCUGACCAUCACGGGGGCCCUUCUGGAAGAUGAAGCUGCUUAUUACUGUUGUGUGUGGACUGGGAGUCAGAGGCACAGUGCUUCAUUCAGAUGGGGAAGUAAGACAAAAACCUCCUCUCCUUUGCUCUCUAUGUACACCAACAGAACCUGA